Molecule: ribosomal RNA, 168 nt
Filed under: Aeschynomene rostrata
Lineage: Eukaryota; Viridiplantae; Streptophyta; Magnoliopsida; Fabales; Fabaceae
Description: 5.8S ribosomal RNA
Rfam family: 5.8S ribosomal RNA
About the family: 5.8S ribosomal RNA (5.8S rRNA) is a component of the large subunit of the eukaryotic ribosome. It is transcribed by RNA polymerase I as part of the 45S precursor that also contains 18S and 28S rRNA. Functionally, it is thought that 5.8S rRNA may be involved in ribosome translocation.
Source: RNAcentral
UCUAAAACGACUCUCGGCAACGGAUAUCUCGGCUCUUGCAUCGAUGAAGAACGUAGCGAAAUGCGAUACUUGGUGUGAAUUGCAGAAUCCCGUGAACCAUCGAGUCUUUGAACGCAAGUUGCGCCUGAAGCCAUUAGGCUAAGGGCAUGCCUGCCUGGGUGUCACUAA